This is a long non-coding RNA of Gambusia affinis (western mosquitofish), 628 nucleotides long. RefSeq lists it as uncharacterized. The record is from RefSeq and is a predicted model, not a curated record. The transcript is spliced from 2 exons. NCBI's taxonomy places the organism in Eukaryota, Metazoa, Chordata, Actinopteri, Cyprinodontiformes, Poeciliidae.
UCAAAGUUAAUUUCUUCUGUUCUAAUAAAUAUUUUCUGAGUUUGUUCCUGGACUUGGAUCCAGAGUUUAAUUUAGUCCCUCUGUGUAACUGAGUUGGACCUGCUGACCUGAGGUCAGAACAGGACAACAUUCGGACCCCCGGUGUGUAGAAAUCCCCCUCAUGUGAAGCAGGUCAGAACAGGACAGCAUUCGGACCCCCGGUGUGUAGAAAUCCCCCUCAUGUGAAGCAGGUCAAAGGUCAUUCAACCCAGUCUAGAAAAGUGAAUUCCUGGAAUCUGACAGGAACAAAUCAAUAAUCAAUGAUUGAUGCUUCAACACUUUGAUCAGAACCUGGAAUGAUUUUACUGACUAAAAUCCUCCAACACAACACGACCCAGUACCAGGUUCUGGUUCUGGUUCUGGUUCUGAAGUCAGCAGGUCUUUAUUGAAGCAGCAGCUUGUUGGCAUUAAUAUUCAUGAGAAUCUUUAACUGGUUCUGUUGGACUGGUUAACCUGCAUCCUGUUGGUUCAGCUCAUCUUUUAUUCUUUAUUCAGAUUGAAUCGCUGCAGUUUGUCAAAGAUCAGCUGUGAUUAUUUGGCUUCAACUCUGAAGUCCAACAGCCUCCAUCUGAAAGAACUGGACCUGAGA